Molecule: transfer RNA, 68 nt
Filed under: Marmota monax (woodchuck)
Lineage: Eukaryota; Metazoa; Chordata; Mammalia; Rodentia; Sciuridae
Description: tRNA.Ala
Source: RNAcentral
GGAUUGUGGCUCAGUGGUAGAGUAUUUGCCUAGCAUGUGUAAGGCACUAGGUUCAAUCCCUGGAGCCA